RNAcentral lists this transfer RNA (73 nucleotides) under bacterium. Its description in RNAcentral is "tRNA-Trp". It matches the Rfam family "tRNA". From Rfam's summary of the family: Transfer RNA (tRNA) molecules are approximately 80 nucleotides in length. Their secondary structure includes four short double-helical elements and three loops (D, anti-codon, and T loops). The record is from RNAcentral. RNAcentral also lists the same sequence under 5 other names.
ACGGCAGUAGCUCAGUUGGUAGAGCAUUGGAUUCCAAAUCCAACGGUCGAGGGUUCGAGUCCUUCCUGCCGUG